Molecule: ribosomal RNA, 908 nt
Filed under: uncultured bacterium
Lineage: Bacteria
Description: bacterial SSU rRNA
Rfam family: Bacterial small subunit ribosomal RNA
Source: RNAcentral
AGAGUUUGAUCCUGGCUCAGAUUGAACGCUGGCGGCAGGCUUAACACAUGCAAGUCGAACGAUGAAAUCUAGCUUGCUAGAUGGAUUAGUGGCGAACGGGUGAGUAAUGCUUAGGAAUCUGCCUAUUAGUGGGGGAUAACCAUCCGAAAGGAUGGCUAAUACCGCAUACGUCUUACGAGAGAAAGGGGGCUUUUAGCUCUCGCUAAUAGAUGAGCCUAAGUCGGAUUAGCUAGUUGGUGGGGUAAAGGCCUACCAAGGCGACGAUCUGUAGCUGGUCUGAGAGGAUGAUCAGCCACACUGGGACUGAGACACGGCCCAGACUCCUACGGGAGGCAGCAGUGGGGAAUAUUGGACAAUGGGCGAAAGCCUGAUCCAGCCAUGCCGCGUGUGUGAAGAAGGCCUUUUGGUUGUAAAGCACUUUAAGUGGGGAGGAAAAGCUUGUGGUUAAUACCCAUUAGCCCUGACGUUACCCACAGAAUAAGCACCGGCUAACUCUGUGCCAGCAGCCGCGGUAAUACAGAGGGUGCAAGCGUUAAUCGGAAUUACUGGGCGUAAAGCGAGCGUAGGUGGUUACUUAAGUCAGAUGUGAAAGCCCCGGGCUUAACCUGGGAAUUGCAUCUGAUACUGGGUGACUAGAGUAGGUGAGAGGGAAGUAGAAUUCCAGGUGUAGCGGUGAAAUGCGUAGAGAUCUGGAGGAAUACCGAUGGCGAAGGCAGCUUCCUGGCAUCAUACUGACACUGAGGUUCGAAAGCGUGGGUAGCAAACAGGAUUAGAUACCCUGGUAGUCCACGCCGUAAACGAUGUCUACCAGUCGUUGGGUCUCUUGAAGACUUAGUGUCGCAGUUAACGCAAUAAGUAGACCGCCUGGGGAGUACGGCCGCAAGGUUAAAACUCAAAGGAAUUGACGG